Molecule: ribosomal RNA, 253 nt
Filed under: uncultured bacterium
Lineage: Bacteria
Description: partial 16S ribosomal RNA
Rfam family: Bacterial small subunit ribosomal RNA
Source: RNAcentral
UACGGAGGGUGCAAGCGUUGUUCGGAAUGACUGGGCGUAAAGCGUACGUAGGCGGACAUGUAAGUCGAUUGUGAAAUCCCCGAGCUCAACUUGGGAAUUGCAGUCGAAACUACAUGUCUUGAAUGCUUGAGAGGGUAGUGGAAUUCCCGGUGUAGAAGUGAAAUUCGUAGAUAUCGGGAGGAACAUCGGAGGCGAAGGCGACUGCCUGGCGAUGCAUUGACGCUGAUGUACGAAAGCGUGGGGAGCGAACAGG